AGUGAACGCUGGCGGUAGGCCUAACACAUGCCAGUCGAACGGCAGCACAGUAAGAGCUUGCUCUUACGGGUGGCGAGUGGCGGACGGGUGAGGAAUACAUCGGAAUCUACUUUUUCGUGGGGGAUAACGUAGGGAAACUUAGGCUAAUACCGCAUACGACCUACGGGUGAAAGCAGGGGAUCUUCGGACCUUGCGCGAUUGAAUGAGCCGAUGUCGGAUUAGCUAGUUGGCGGGGUAAAGGCCCACCAAGGCGACGAUCCGUAGCUGGUCUGAGAGGAUGAUCAGCCACACUGGAACUGAGACACGGUCCAGACUCCUACGGGAGGCAGCAGUGGGGAAUAUUGGACAAUGGGCGCAAGCCUGAUCCAGCCAUACCGCGUGGGUGAAGAAGGCCUUCGGGUUGUAAAGCCCUUUUGUUGGGAAAGAAAAGCAGCAGGUUAAUACCCCGCUGUUCUGACGGUACCCAAAGAAUAAGCACCGGCUAACUUCGUG
Molecule: ribosomal RNA, 492 nt
Filed under: uncultured bacterium
Lineage: Bacteria
Description: partial 16S ribosomal RNA
Rfam family: Bacterial small subunit ribosomal RNA
Source: RNAcentral